RNAcentral lists this transfer RNA (67 nucleotides) under Habroscelimorpha dorsalis venusta. RNAcentral describes it as "tRNA-Trp". RNAcentral also lists the same sequence under 1 other name. Lineage: Eukaryota; Metazoa; Arthropoda; Insecta; Coleoptera; Carabidae. The record is from RNAcentral.
AAGGAUUUAAGUUAACCCCAAACUAAUGGUUUUCAAAGCCGUAAAUAAAGACUUGCUUUAAGCCUUA